RNAcentral lists this ribosomal RNA (447 nucleotides) under uncultured bacterium. RNAcentral's name for it is "bacterial SSU rRNA". It matches the Rfam family "Bacterial small subunit ribosomal RNA", at positions 330 to 792 of the family's 1533-position model. The record is from RNAcentral.
UCCAGACUCCUACGGGAGGCAGCAGUGGGGAAUAUUGCACAAUGGGGGAAACCCUGAUGCAGCAACGCCGCGUGAAGGAAGACGGUUUUCGGAUUGUAAACUUCUAUCAAUAGGGAAGAAAGAAAUGACGGUACCUAAAUAAGAAGCCCCGGCUAACUCCGUGCCAGCAGCCGCGGUAAUACGGAGGAUGCGAGCGUUAUCCGGAUUUAUUGGGUUUAAAGGGUGCGUAGGCGGAAUGCCAAGUCAGCGGUAAAAUCGCGGGGCUCACCCUCGCUCCGCCGUUGAAACUGGCGUUCUUGAGUGGGCGAGAAGUAUGCGGAAUGCGUGGUGUAGCGGUGAAAUGCAUAGAUAUCACGCAGAACUCCGAUUGCGAAGGCAGCAUACCGGCGCCCAACUGACGCUGAAGCACGAAAGCGUGGGUAUCGAACAGGAUUAGAUCCCCCGGUA